AUGGAGGUCGAGAUCAAGCUCCGUCUCCCCGACGCGGCUGCACACCGGCGCCUCUCCUCCUUCCUCGCGCCCCGCCUGCUCCGCACCGACGCCCCAGCGCGGCCCCUCGCCGCCGCCACCGCCGCCCAGCGGGACGUCCGCCUCUACGGCACCGACGACCGCGACCCCUCCCGCGCCGUCCUCACGCUCAAGCGCCGCCCGCGCAUCGACGCCAGCGUCAGCCGCGUUGAGGAGGUCGUGGAGCCCCUCGACCCCGCCCUCGCCCUCACCUGCGUCGACAACCCCGCCCGUCUCGACGCGGUCGACUCCCCCAUCGUCCGGCUCGUCUCCGACGAGUACGGCGUCGGCGGGGACAAAGCGCCGUUCGUCUGCCUCGGCGGCUUCCGGAACACCCGCUGUGUGUAUGAGCUCGAGGAGGGCGAGGGGCAGGGGCUCGUGCUAGACGGCAGCGGGCUGGGCCUACGUUGGCGGUGCCGGCAUUCCUCUCCUCCGACGAGCGGUAGCGGCGGCGGCACGGGACGCAGUGGGCCUGACCUGCGUCGGCGACAAUGGGGGCCCUCUCCUCCGUCGAGCGGCGGCGGCGGCGCGGGACGUAGUGGGCCCGGCCUGCAUCGGCGGUGGCGGCGGCGGGAUCCAUCUCCUCCCUCAAGCAGCGGCGGCUUGGGACACGGUGGGCUUGGCCGCAAAGAUGGAUUUCUCUGGGGCAUUCGAUUACUGGCCUCUGUUCCUCGACUCGCGCCAGGGACGCAUAUGCCCAUCCGGUCGUUCCUCCUCAUGGUCAGCGACGCAGAUGCGGCCGCUGUCAUUCCUCGCACAGCCGAAGGUUGA
Molecule: ribosomal RNA, 828 nt
Filed under: Triticum aestivum (bread wheat)
Lineage: Eukaryota; Viridiplantae; Streptophyta; Magnoliopsida; Poales; Poaceae
Description: partial small subunit ribosomal RNA
Source: RNAcentral